This 441-nucleotide unclassified non-coding RNA is filed under the name Hevea brasiliensis (rubber tree). Lineage: Eukaryota; Viridiplantae; Streptophyta; Magnoliopsida; Malpighiales; Euphorbiaceae. The record is from RNAcentral.
UAGUUGAGUUGAGUUGAGUUGUAGCAGAUUUAAAAAGUAUAUUAUUUUGGUUGUGCCAUUCUUCCCUUCACUGUAUGACAAGGUCAGUGGUUUUAAGGCUCUUAUUUCUCCAUUCUCCAAUGCAUCGCACUUUCUUUAAAUGUUUAUGCAACAAUCCCUUCAUUAAAGUAUUCAUCUUAUUUAAUAUAAUGAAAUUGUGAUGACCAAAAAGCAGUCUGGAAAAGAGUAGAGGGAGGUGGCAUGUGAUAGACCAACCUGCCCCCCAAUCCUCAUAAAACAGGAAGCCUUGUGCAUCUAGGACACCUUUUUACAUUUAAUCUGAUAUAAGAUCAAUGGUAUAACAAAGAAGAAGACAAAGAACCACCUUGCCCCCAAUCCUCAAAAACCAGGGAGCCUAACGCAUCUAGGACGCCUAGAAGAAGAACAACAAUUUUAAGGCAG